UUAUAAUAUAGGGUGUUCGUAAAUGAAAUUUACAAUUUCAUGUUUUAUUUAUAUGGAAGCUAUGAUAUAUAAGAACUUGCAAUAGUUAUUACAAUGUAUAGCAACUAUGAAAUUUGUUUUUACAGUUAGAACAUCUCCAUUUGUGCUCCAUUGGUUACUCAGAUGUACAGAUGAUGAUCUAAUUUAACCCAUAUAUGUUGCAGAAUGUCAGAAUAGCUGAGUGAUAUGUUCCUUGAACUGCUUCUCCAACUCAAUGAAAGACAUCCAUUUUUGUUUUGUAGACAAUGUCUUUAAUAAAGUUCCAAAGGGAAAGUCACACAGGAUAAUAUCAAGAAAAUGAGUGGUCAUUCUAUUGCUUCUACUACAUCUGAUCUAAAGCCCUGGAAAAUAUUGGUAUAAAGAACUUAGAACAUCCACUGAUCAAUAUGAGAAGUACAAUCUUGUGGAAUAUAUUGCUUGGAAUAUCACUGAGUUGUGAAAUUAUGAAGAGUGGCAAUAUGUAUUUAGAAUUAUGUUAUAAAUCAAUUCAGAAAAGAAAAAAAAUCCCAUCAAACUGUCAGUCAUUAUGCCAUAUCAGCAUAAUGACAGACAGUUUGAUGGGAUGUGCUAUUUCUCUUCAAGAAAAAAUUUUAUUGCAAUAAAAAAUUGUCAGAAUAAAUUAUGUCAAAACCAAAUAUAAAAUUAAAUGGUGAGAAAAAACAAUCAAAUCAAACCUACAUACAUAAAACAUUCCAAGUGAGAAAAGUUAUAAAACUUUUUAUUCAGAUAUCAGGCCUGCACUACUUCUGAAAUGCAUUUUGAGUUCUCAUUGCCCCUCAUCAGUCUGGAAUGUGUGCAAGCUAAUAUACAUAAAUAAAAGAAUGGAAUAUUACAAAUUGUCAAAUACAUAUAAAUAUUAUAGCUUAAACAAAUAAUUAUUUAGACUUUAAUUUAUAUGUAUUUAACAAUUUGUACGACGCCAUUCUUUUCUAUAUAUUAAAAUCCAC
Molecule: long non-coding RNA, 986 nt
Filed under: Androctonus crassicauda
Lineage: Eukaryota; Metazoa; Arthropoda; Arachnida; Scorpiones; Buthidae
Source: RNAcentral